Molecule: small RNA, 528 nt
Filed under: Pongo abelii (Sumatran orangutan)
Lineage: Eukaryota; Metazoa; Chordata; Mammalia; Primates; Hominidae
Description: processed transcript
Source: RNAcentral
AAACAUGAUCAAGUCCUUCUAUACUGCAAGUCUUUUGAUAGAUGUCAUAACAGUAUUUGGAGAACUCACUGAUGAAAAUGUGAAACACAGGAAGUAUGCCAGAUGGAAGGCAACAUACAUCCAUAAUUGUUUAAAGAAUGGGGAGACUCCUCAAGCAGGCCCUGUUGGAAUUGAAGAAGAUAAUGAUGUUGAAGAAAAUGAAGAUGCUGGAGCAGCCUCUCUGCCCACUCAGCCAACUCAGCCAUCAUCAUCUUCAACUUACGACCCAAGCAACAUGCCAUCAGGCAACUAUACUGGAAUACAGAUUCCUCCGGGUGCACACGCUCCAGCUAAUACACCAGCAGAAGUGCCUCACAGCACAGGUGGGAAACUAUAACUCAAUGAUUUAUUUAAUUCCCCUUUUAUAAAUAAGAACUGCAUUUCUUAUCACAUGUGUGCCUCAUAAUGAUGGUCGUGAAAACAUGACAAGUUCCUUGAAUUCCAUUUGAACCCACAAGAAACAUUAAAUUAUUUUCAUUAAAAUUUUAA